RNAcentral lists this ribosomal RNA (445 nucleotides) under uncultured bacterium. Its description in RNAcentral is "bacterial SSU rRNA". It matches the Rfam family "Bacterial small subunit ribosomal RNA", at positions 355 to 822 of the family's 1533-position model. The record is from RNAcentral.
UCGGGAAUUUUGGGCAAUGGGCGAAAGCCUGACCCAGCAACGCCGCGUGAAGGAUGAAAUCUUUCGGGAUGUAAACUUCGGAAGAAUAGGAAGAAUAAAAUGACGGUACUAUUUUUAAGGUCCGGCUAACUACGUGCCAGCAGCCGCGGUAAUACGUAGGGACCAAGCGUUGUUCGGAUUUACUGGGCGUAAAGGGCGCGUAGGCGGCGUAAUAAGUCACUUGUGAAAUCUCCGGGCUUAACUCGGAGCGGCCAAGUGAUACUGUUAGGCUAGAGUGCAGAAAGGGCAAUCGGAAUUCUUGGUGUAGCGGUGAAAUGCGUAGAUAUCAAGAGGAACACCUGAGGCGAAGGCGGGUUGCUAGGCUGACACUGACGCUGAGGCGCGAAAGCUAGGGUAGCAAACGGGAUUAGAUACCCGGGUAGUCCCUGAGCGGGCUGGCAAGGCG